CCCAGUGAGCAGAAUAAUAAAACAUUAUAAUUAAAGUUCAUGCUCUCAUGAAAUGCAUCACAACACAAACAAAUCACAUUAAGGAUGAACUUGUCACCAAUAGUCCUCUACAUAUCCAACAGUGCCAGGGACGUAGAAUGGGUCUUCCUGGACUUCCUUUUACAUAUCAUAUCAUAACAUUCCAAUGUGCCAGGGACGUAGAAUGGGUCUUCCUGGACUUUCUCUUACAUUGUGCCAGGGACGUAGAAUGGGUCUUCCUGGACUUCCAUACCAUAUCAUCAUCAUCAUCAUACCAUAUCAUACGAGGACUAAUGGAUCAUUCAAUAUUCAUCCACAUCAACAAUAUAAUAUGCAAUGCAACAUAUUCGUAAAUUUCUAAUGCAACAACCUAGAAUAUCACAUGGCAUUCGUGAUGCAUGAGUCAUGCUAAAACUUUC
RNAcentral lists this long non-coding RNA (437 nucleotides) under Manihot esculenta (cassava). RNAcentral describes it as "long non-coding RNA (MESC_LNC011949)". The record is from RNAcentral. Lineage: Eukaryota; Viridiplantae; Streptophyta; Magnoliopsida; Malpighiales; Euphorbiaceae.